GACGAACGCUGGCGGCGUGCUUAACACAUGCAAGUCGAACGAUGAAGUGGAGCUUGCUCCACGGAUUAGUGGCGAACGGGUGAGGAACACGUGAGAAACCUGCCUCGGAUUUUGGGAUAACAAAUGGAAACGUUUGCUAAUACCAAAUAACGUCGGAGAGUCACAUGACUUUCUGACGAAAGGAAUUCCGAUUCGAGAGGGUCUCGCGGCCUAUCAGCUUGUUGGCGGGGUAAUGGCCCACCAAGGCAAC
This 250-nucleotide ribosomal RNA is filed under the name uncultured bacterium. RNAcentral's name for it is "partial 16S ribosomal RNA". It matches the Rfam family "Bacterial small subunit ribosomal RNA", at positions 28 to 277 of the family's 1533-position model. The record is from RNAcentral.